UACAGAGGUCUCAAGCGUUGUUCGGAUUCAUUGGGCGUAAAGGGUGUGUAGGUGGCGCGCUAAGUCGGGUGUGAAAUUUCGGAGCUUAACUCCGAAACUGCAUUCGAUACUGGCGUGCUUGAGGACUGGAGAGGAGACUGGAAUUCAUGGUGUAGCAGUGAAAUGCGCAGAUAUCAGGAGGAACACCGGUGGCGAAGGCGGAUCUCUGGGCCAUUACUGACGCUGAGGAGCGAAAGUGUGGGGAGCGAACAGG
RNAcentral lists this ribosomal RNA (253 nucleotides) under uncultured bacterium. RNAcentral's name for it is "partial 16S ribosomal RNA". It matches the Rfam family "Bacterial small subunit ribosomal RNA", at positions 524 to 776 of the family's 1533-position model. The record is from RNAcentral.